CUCCUAUCUCCUUUCUAUUUCUCUUCUUCCUAUUCUUCUAUCGCUUUCUGUUUUCUGUUUCUGUAUCGUUCUGUGUUAGGGUUCCACCUAACAAUUGGUACAAGAGCUGUUUGAGGGUGGGCAUAGACUGCCAAUUGCUUUCGGAGGUCACAAGGAUGGCUCGACCAGUGGUGGUAGGUCCAGAAGCUGUUAAACUGGCAGAACUGGAAGAUCAAGUGAGAAGCCUCACGAGACUCGGAAGCACGUGGAAAUGCUAAGAGUGGAUCUUAAAGACUUGCGGGAGGAAGUGAAGAGGAGUAUUGUGGAAUCAAGGCAAUCUAUCAUGGAAGAAUUGACUGCUGUUAUGGCUAAAAUGUUAGGCACUCGAGUUAAGGAUAUUAAUUCUGUUGAGAAAGAAUCAGUGGGGAUGGGGAAAAUAACAAUCUUGGAAGUAAAGAUCCCAUGGGAAUCAUGGGAAGAGGACAUCAUUACCAGUCCUGAAAGAGUCUGAGAAUGGCCAGAAUGGGAUUCUAGCAGCUCAAGAAAAUGUUGCCCGAGAUUGAGUUGAUACUUGAUAACCUUUGAAGGGGGUGAUCCGAGGGUAUGGCUGAGGAAGUGUAGCAAGUACUUUGAAGUUUAUGAGGUGCCUAAGGAUAAAAGAGUAAGCAUAGCGAGCCUCUACUUGAUGGGCAAGGCUGACUCUUGGUACAAUAAUUGGGGUAGAGAGAGAAUUACCCAAUUGUUGAAAGAAUUUGAGGCUGAUUCUCUAUAGGAGGUUUGGAGAGCAAGGAUUAGAAGAUGUUGUGGAGGAGUUUUUGAAGAUGAGGCAAGAAGGGAUUGUGGAGGAUUACCAAGAUAAAUUUGAAGAUAUAAGGGUGAGAAUGGAAAGAUUUGUACCUGUCUUGGAUGAAUACUACUUCCUGUCAGGGUUUAUUGGAGGGCUUCGAGAUGAAAUUAGGCCUAUGGUAAGAAUGUUGAGGCCCACUAAUCUUGCCCAUGCCUUUGAAAUUGCAAGGCUGCAGGAGCCAUUACUGCAAAGCUAUGGAAAUCCUACCUUAGCCCCUAAGCCUACAUUCGCCUUCUACAAACCAGCGCUGAACUCUAAUACCAGUAACUCCCAAUCCUUGACAUAUAAAACUUCUCAGUUACAUCAGAAUUUCCCUUAUUCCACCAAGCCACCAAAUGAGAGCACAACCACAAGAAGUGCCUCCAAUGUCCCUACUAAACCUGACUCCACAACCAGCACCAGUUCAGUAAACCAAGCUCCCACUAAGACGGACGCUGCAAACCCUGUAAACACUACCAAACCAGCAAGACUUUGCCAUAGAUGUAAGAGAUAAAUUUUUCCUGGGCACUAGUGCAAGGCCAAGACAGCCAUGGCAUUGUAGAUGGAGAAGCAGGGUAAGGAAGGGAGUGAGAAGUGUAUGGAGGAAAAGUCCAAUUACCAGAAAACACUUCCCAUGAAUCUUUUGUUUCAUGUAUCUCUACUCAAGAAGAAAUUGGGGGACAGUGUAAUUCCUCAAACACAGCUGCCUAGUAUGGUGGAGGAAGAAUUGUUGGUGGCUCCUGCUGCUAUACUCAAGACAAUGACUGUUGAAAGAGAUGGCCAAUCUGUUAUUCGACGUCUGGUUCAAUGGACCAACCUGACUACUGAAGAAGCUACUUGGAAAGACAGGGCCUUCAACCAAGCUCAAUUCCCUUAUUUUCAGCAUCCUUGGGGACAAACAUGCUCUUAUGGAGGGGGUAUUGUCACGUAUAA
RNAcentral lists this long non-coding RNA (1738 nucleotides) under Manihot esculenta (cassava). Its description in RNAcentral is "long non-coding RNA (MESC_LNC009254)". Lineage: Eukaryota; Viridiplantae; Streptophyta; Magnoliopsida; Malpighiales; Euphorbiaceae. The record is from RNAcentral.